CAAGGAUAAAGGUCCUUAAGUAUGCAUUGAGCCAAAAACCCUAUACUCUUUGCAUUUAGACCUUGUCCUAGACCAAAAAUCAGGAACUCUGUGUAGUGGCAUUGAAGCUAGUGACGCUACAUCGUUCUUCCUGAAACAUUUUC
Non-coding RNA from Drosophila bipectinata, 143 nucleotides. The record is from RefSeq and is a predicted model, not a curated record. Lineage: Eukaryota; Metazoa; Arthropoda; Insecta; Diptera; Drosophilidae.